AUUGAACGCUGGCGGCAUGCCUUACACAUGCAAGUCGAACGGCAGCACGGGUGCUUGCACCUGGUGGCGAGUGGCGAACGGGUGAGUAAUACAUCGGAACGUACCUUAUCGUGGGGGAUAACGCAGCGAAAGUUGCGCUAAUACCGCAUACGCCCUGAGGGGGAAAGCGGGGGACCGUAAGGCCUCGCGCGAUUAGAGCGGCCGAUGUCUGAUUAGCUUGUUGGUGAGGUAAAAGCUCACCAAGGCGAUGAUCAGUAGCUGGUCUGAGAGGACGAUCAGCCACACUGGGACUGAGACACGGCACAGACUCCUACGGGCGGCAGCAGUGGGGAAUUUUGGACAAUGGGGGCAACCCUGAUCCAGCAAUGCCGCGUGAGUGAAGAAGGCCUUCGGGUUGUAAAGCUCUUUUGUCAGGGAAGAAACAGCAGCUCUAACACAGUCUGCGAAUGACGGUACCUGAAGAAUAAGCACCGGCUAACUACGUGCCAGCAGCCGCGGUAA
RNAcentral lists this ribosomal RNA (501 nucleotides) under uncultured bacterium. RNAcentral describes it as "partial 16S ribosomal RNA". It matches the Rfam family "Bacterial small subunit ribosomal RNA", at positions 30 to 523 of the family's 1533-position model. The record is from RNAcentral.